GGACAGAAAGGCCAGCGAUGAGGUCAGGAGCCGACGCAGAGCUGUGAUGCUGAGCCGGCGGGAGGAAGGAGCAGCACUGCAGGGUCAGGCGGCGCUCUCCCGCCUCUGCGCCCUGUCCUCCCUGCCUGUUUCCCCUUGCCUUGCUGCCCGAGCUGAAUGAGGGGAGAAUGAAGAAUUACCUUCUGGAGCAGAAAAAUAAAACAUAAAGUUGAAAAAAGUUACUGUUGGAAAUGUGUGCAGACUAUUAUUAUCAAUAAUACACCAUCCGGAUAUACUACUUUUUAGAAGAUUUGGACAAGCCCUUCGGUCUGGCAGCAUCAUCUGAAUCUUCAGUUUUUCUGAACAUACCUUGACCUCUGUACUAACGCGUCUCAUGAGG
Molecule: non-coding RNA, 379 nt
Organism: Odocoileus virginianus texanus
Lineage: Eukaryota; Metazoa; Chordata; Mammalia; Artiodactyla; Cervidae
Source: RefSeq, a predicted model, not a curated record